CAUGAUUUAUCGUGAAUGGUGCUUCCGCAGUCUGAGCUUACUUGUAGAUAGGUGGAGGUGGGGAAGCAUAGACGUAAGCUGGAGGCGGAGGUGAUUUGUAAAUGUACUUUGGAGCGGGAGCUGGGGAGGGAGGAGGUGGUGAUUUGUAAUGGUAUGGUGGAGGUGGAGAUGGAGAAGGUGGUGGAGGGCUCACGUAGUGGUAAGGAGGUGAAGGAUACGACGUUGGUGGUGGAGGGGAUUUGUAGUAGUAGGGAUGAUGAGGAGUGGGAGAUGGUGGAGGAGGACUUUUAUAGUAAUAAGGAGGUGGUGGAGAUGGGGACGGGGGUGGAGGGGAUUUGUAGUAAUAUGGAGGUGGUGGUGAUGGGGAUGGUGGUGGUGGUGAGUGGUAGUAGUAGGGAGGGUGUGUGCUCUCUUUAGGUGGAGGUGGGGAGUGAUAGUAGUAAGGUGGUGGAGGGGAUGGUGAAGGUGGUGGGGGAGAUUUAUAGUAGUAUGGAGGAGGAGGGGAUGGUGAAGGUGGGGGUGGAGAUUUAUAGUAGUACGGAGGGGGAGGAGAGGGUGAUGGUGGAGGUGGAGAUUUAUAGUAGUACGGAGGGGGAGGAGAGGGUGAUGGUGGAGGUGGAGAUUUAUAGUAGUAUGGAGGCUUAUAAACCGGUGAGGGUGGAGGUGGGGAGUGGUAGUAGUAUGGAGGGGGAGGUGAGGGGGAUGGUGGAGGGGGAGAGUGGUAGUAGUAUGGAGGGGGAGGUGAAGGGGAUGGUGGAGGUGGAGAGUGGUAGUAGUAUGGAGGUUUAGGCUUUGGUGAUGGUGGGGGUGGAGAUUGGUAGUAGUAUGGAGGCUUUGGCACCGGUGAUGGUGGAGGUGGAGAGUGGUAGUAGUAUGGAGGUGGAGGAGAGGGAGAUGGAGGAGGUGGAGAGUGGUAGUAGUAUGGAGGCUUAGGUUUUGGUGAUGGAGGGGGUGGUGAUUGGUAGUAGUAAGGAGGCUUUGGCACCGGUGAUGGUGGAGGUGGAGAGUGGUAGUAGUACGGAGGCUUAGGUUUUGGUGAUGGGGGAGGUGGAGAUUGGUAGUAGUAUGGAGGCUUUGGUACUGGUGAUGGAGGAGGUGGAGAGUGGUAGUAGUAUGGAGGUUGAGGUUUUGGUGAUGGUGGAGGUGGAGACUUAUAAUAAUAGGGAGGUGACUUGACGGGUGGUGGUGGUGACUUGUAAACAUAAGUUGGUGAUGGUGGUGGUGGUGAUUUGUAUACGUAAACUGGAGAGGGAGGAGGAGGUGAGUUGUAAUAGUAUGGUGUUGGUGAAGGCUUAUAAGGCUUCUUGUCACAGUCCUUGAAGUGCUUCUUUGAAGCAUAAGCAAAUGGCUUAGCCUUGAGCACAACUUCAUAUUUAUCUUUUGAUUUCACCUUCAAUGGAGUUCCCUCGUUCAGCUUGGUAGGUAUGUUGAAGGGAGAGUCCUUAGGUGGAGCAUGAAGGUGGGCCUUGCAGACUACUGAUCCAUAUUUCACAUAGUCAAAGUCCUUAACUGUGAUACUGUAUUUUCCAUUGCUCUUAGUUUCACCAUAAGCCUUUAUGAUGUUUCUUCCUGCUUUGCAUUUAACCUCCACAAUAGCACCUACAUUUACCCAAAAUGCUUCAUUA
This 1625-nucleotide long non-coding RNA is filed under the name Vigna radiata. Its description in RNAcentral is "long non-coding RNA (VRAD_LNC009420)". The record is from RNAcentral. Lineage: Eukaryota; Viridiplantae; Streptophyta; Magnoliopsida; Fabales; Fabaceae.